UGGGGAAUAUUGCACAAUGGGGGAAACCCUGAUGCAGCGACGCCGCGUGAACGAAGAAGGUAUUCGUAUCGUAAAGUUCUGUCCUAUGGGAAGAUAAUGACAGUACCAUAGAAGAAAGCUCCGGCUAAAUACGUGCCAGCAGCCGCGGUAAUACGUAUGGAGCGAGCGUUGUCCGGAAUUAUUGGGCGUAAAGGGUACGCAGGCGGUUUAAUAAGUCGAAUGUUAAAGAUCGGGGCUCAACCCCGUAAAGCAUUGGAAACUGAUAAACUUGAGUAGUGGAGAGGAAAGUGGAAUUCCUAGUGUAGUGGUGAAAUACGUGGAUAUUAGGAGGAAUACCAGUAGCGAAGGCGACUUUCUGGACACAAACUGACGCUGAGGUACGAAAGCGUGGGGAGCAAACAGG
RNAcentral lists this ribosomal RNA (403 nucleotides) under bacterium. Its description in RNAcentral is "partial 16S ribosomal RNA". It matches the Rfam family "Bacterial small subunit ribosomal RNA", at positions 355 to 776 of the family's 1533-position model. The record is from RNAcentral. RNAcentral also lists the same sequence under 1 other name.